UCAGACUCAACAUUACAUUGGAGCCAAAUAUGGACCUGGGAAGGCCAAUAUUCUAAACACUUAUUGUUGCAUGAAGUUAGGCCUUAAAAAUUGUGAUAGCGAGGCGAAUAGUGGUCCGAUUGACAGUGAAAAGGCAAAAUAAGUUGUUGGAGGGACUGGACAUGGAUCUUUUCACAUUUCAACCAAUAAUGUGGACAGCAACAGCGAUGGUCAUUGAAUAACCUAG
Molecule: long non-coding RNA, 226 nt
Organism: Phragmites australis (common reed)
Lineage: Eukaryota; Viridiplantae; Streptophyta; Magnoliopsida; Poales; Poaceae
Exons: 3
Source: RefSeq, a predicted model, not a curated record